UCCUACGGGGCGCAGCAGUGGGGAAUAUUGGGCAAUGGGCGCAAGCCUGACCCAGCAACGCCGCGUGAAGGAAGAAGGCUUUCGGGUUGUAAACUUCUUUUAAGAGGGAAGAGCAGAAGACGGUACCUCUUGAAUAAGCCACGGCUAACUACGUGCCAGCAGCCGCGGUAAUACGUAGGUGGCAAGCGUUAUCCGGAUUUACUGGGUGUAAAGGGCGAGUAGGCGGGAUUGCAAGUCAGAUGUGAAAACUAUGGGCUCAACCGAUAGAGUGCAUUUGAAACUGCAGUUCUUGAGUGAUGGAGAGG
RNAcentral lists this ribosomal RNA (305 nucleotides) under uncultured bacterium. Its description in RNAcentral is "bacterial SSU rRNA". It matches the Rfam family "Bacterial small subunit ribosomal RNA", at positions 337 to 657 of the family's 1533-position model. The record is from RNAcentral.